RNAcentral lists this ribosomal RNA (557 nucleotides) under uncultured bacterium. RNAcentral's name for it is "bacterial SSU rRNA". It matches the Rfam family "Bacterial small subunit ribosomal RNA", at positions 777 to 1343 of the family's 1533-position model. The record is from RNAcentral.
AAUAGAUACCCGGGUAGUCCACGCCGUAAACGAUGGAUGCUAGCUAUUGGGGGGAAUCGACCCCCUCCGAAGCGAAGCUAACGCGUUAAGCAUCCCGCCUGAGUAGUACGAGCGCAAGCUUAAAACUCAAAGGAAUUGACGGGGACCCGCACAAGCGGUGGAGCGUGUGGUUUAAUUCGAUGGUAAACGAAGAACCUUACCAAGGUUUGACAUCCCGGUAGCCGUUCUCCGAAAGGAGAAUUUCAUUUAGUUGGACCGGUGACAGGUGAUGCAUGGCCGUCGUCAGCUCGUGUCGUGAGAUGUUGGGUUAAGUCCCGCAACGAGCGCAACCCUUAUGAUUUAGUUGGAUUUUUCUAAACAGACUGCCCUGGUAACAGGGAGGAAGGAGGGGAUGAUGUCAGGUCAGUAUUUCCCUUACACCUUGGGCGACACACGCGCUACAAUGGCCGGUACAAUGGGCAGCUAAGCCGCGAGGUGGAGCAAAUCCCAUCAAAGCCGGUCCCAGUUCGGAUUGCAGGCUGAAACCCGCCCGCAUGAAGCCGGAAUCGCUAGUAACC